ACUGCAGGCUGGGGCUCCGCUCCCCGGCGGGAGCCCGCGCGUGGUUCCCAGCGAAGUCCCCGCGCGGCUGGGCCCAGCGUGAGUAUUCUCCGCCCGCUGUCCUCCCCCUGGAGGCGGCAGCGCCCGUUUAUUUGAGGCUUCUAAUGUGAGGAAAAACACGGAAUGACAAGUGUGGGAAAGAGCAAGCACUAAAUUACUGUCAGAAAAAUAAACGGAGUAGCACAGUGCUGCUCGGUGAUUUACGGGGGCAAUUAGUCACCACCCCACGGCGCUGCUGAGGACAGCACGGCAGCAGACAAGUCAGGCCCAUGAGGAAGAAGAGGCUUUGCACUGCUCUCCAGACAACUUUUCAAACAACAAGAGAGGAUAUUUGAGCACAUUAGGUUUUGUGUCUUCAUUCUGGAGACUAAGUUAGAGACCCAGAUGGAGUGGACAUCUUGCCAUCUGUCCCGAAGCUGCAACUUUCCUGAUUCUCCUUGCUUUCAUCAAUGAAUGGCACUACCAUUGUCCUCAUACAGGAAUAUGGAUACCUAUUCCUGAAGAUUCAUCCUUUGCUAUUCCUCCCAAAUAUGGCUAGACAUUUUCACUUCUGGUUACAGUAUCAUAUUUCAGGGUGCAUUCAGAUGUAGAUUUCCAACCUGUCCUGAAC
This 649-nucleotide long non-coding RNA is filed under the name Homo sapiens (human). RNAcentral's name for it is "non-protein coding lnc-ZNF644-1:21". The record is from RNAcentral. Lineage: Eukaryota; Metazoa; Chordata; Mammalia; Primates; Hominidae.